GUCGUCAGCUCGUGUCGUGAGAUGUUGGGUUAAGUCCCGCAACGAGCGCAACCCUCGCCUUUAGUUGCCAGCAUUCAGUUGGGCACUCUAGAGGGACUGCCGGUGUCAAACCGGAGGAAGGUGGGAUGACGUCAAGUCCUCAUGGCCUUUAUGUCUAGGGCUACACACGUACUACAAUGGCCGGUACAAAGGGCAGCCACUCAGCGAUGAGGCGCUAAUCCCAUAAAGCCGGUCUCAGUCCGGAUCGCAGUCUGCAACUCGACUGCGUGAAGUUGGAAUCGCUAGUAAUCGUAGAUCAGCAUGCUACGGUGAAUACGUUCCCGGGCCUU
RNAcentral lists this ribosomal RNA (329 nucleotides) under uncultured Desulfovibrio sp. RNAcentral's name for it is "bacterial SSU rRNA". It matches the Rfam family "Bacterial small subunit ribosomal RNA", at positions 1051 to 1382 of the family's 1533-position model. Lineage: Bacteria; Pseudomonadati; Thermodesulfobacteriota; Desulfovibrionia; Desulfovibrionales; Desulfovibrionaceae. The record is from RNAcentral.